AAAAAUUCAAUACUUAGUUAUAUUUUUUAUUAUUCGAUUUUCCAGAUGUUGCCAAUUCGGAGAGUAGCGUUAGGAGCGCCAAUUUACAGUUUUUCCCACCGAUACCACUUGAAAAAGACUUGAUAAAGCCAUCCACGAGCACCACCGAACCACCGCUUGAACCGACCAUUUUGGUUUACGAAAAUCCCGAAAGCCCACCGGAAAUAGCAUCCGAGAUAGUGAUUCCCGUGCUGAAAUCGAACUCGUACAAGACUCGAAAGCUCGAAAAUCCGAAACAGCGUGCUCGUCCGAAAGUUAUUCCCAAGGGUGCAAUCGCAAAACCGAAGGAAAUGCUUGGAGACCGGCCAAAAAGGAGCAACAUUACAUCCAACAAUAACAACGUCUCGGCCAAAAUCAAGGCAACUGGUCGGUCUAAAAAAUUCCCGUGCUACAACUGCAACAAAUCUUACAUGUCGCUGCACAGUUUGAAGCGUCACCUCGAAUUUGAAUGCCUCGUGGAUCCGCACUACCGCUGUGGACACUGCGAGUUCAUCUGCGCCUAUCCCAUAAGCGUCAUUAGGCACAAUAAUAAUCGGCACAAGGAUUUGGAGCCGGUUGUCAUCGAC
Molecule: long non-coding RNA, 605 nt
Organism: Copidosoma floridanum
Lineage: Eukaryota; Metazoa; Arthropoda; Insecta; Hymenoptera; Encyrtidae
Source: RefSeq, a predicted model, not a curated record